RNAcentral lists this ribosomal RNA (253 nucleotides) under uncultured bacterium. Its description in RNAcentral is "partial 16S ribosomal RNA". It matches the Rfam family "Bacterial small subunit ribosomal RNA", at positions 524 to 776 of the family's 1533-position model. The record is from RNAcentral.
UACAGAGGUCCCAAGCGUUGUUCGGAUUCACUGGGCGUAAAGGGUGCGUAGGUGGUCAGGUAAGUCGGAUGUGAAAUCUCCGAGCUCAACUCGGAAACUGCAUUGGAAACUACCUGGCUCGAGGGUUGGAGGGGGGACUGGAAUGCUUGGUGUAGCAGUGAAAUGCGUAGAUAUCAGGAGGAACACCGAUGGCGAAGGCAGGUCUCUGGGCCACUACUGACGCUGAGAAGCGAAAGCAUGGGGAGCGAACAGG